Tachyglossus aculeatus (Australian echidna) is the source of this 138-nucleotide small nucleolar RNA. The record is from RefSeq and is a predicted model, not a curated record. NCBI's taxonomy places the organism in Eukaryota, Metazoa, Chordata, Mammalia, Monotremata, Tachyglossidae.
CCCCUCUCAGGGUCGCACCUGGAGAGUUUCCAGUCCUCUACCAGUCCCGACUAUGGGAGGAAGAGUGAAGCAGAGGCCUGCAUGUGCCAUUCCUAGCUUGGGCAGUGGCUAGCGAGUGGCAGGCAAUCUGCUACAAGU